Molecule: long non-coding RNA, 474 nt
Organism: Pecten maximus
Lineage: Eukaryota; Metazoa; Mollusca; Bivalvia; Pectinida; Pectinidae
Exons: 3
Source: RefSeq, a predicted model, not a curated record
ACAGUCGAAUCUUACCUAAUAGCUGUCUUGGCUGUUGUUUGUGGGCUGUUUUUAGCUGCAUUGGGCGCCAUAGCAGUGGUGGUAUUCAUUCUUCGAAAAAGGCAAAACAGAAAGAACACGUCAGAUAAGGUUACAGAACAAUCCGUACCGGACACUGGAUAUACGUCUAUUUCCCGUCGUCAAGAAGACACUUCCCAAGUCUAUGAAAUGGUGGUCACCUAAUACGCAAGACAAGUUGAUCAAACUAUAAAAGAUCGUUGAUUCGGACAGCUGUGUGCCCUUAAUAAAACACGAAAGGAAAUAAUAUUGCUACAAAUGCAUUUCAAAAAGGUAAAUCCAUGGACAUUCAGAAAAGGUGUUUACACUUUCAGCAUACGAGUAUUUGUAUUAUAUAUAUAAACGUAUUUCUAAAGUGGUGAUCCAAGUGAAUGUCGAGUUCAAUGUUUGUAUGCUCGUGUGUAUAUAUAUAUAUAU